UCCAGACUCCUACGGGAGGCAGCAGUGGGGAAUAUUGCACAAUGGGGGGAACCCUGAUGCAGCGACGCCGCGUGGGUGAAGGAGCACCUCGGUACGUAAAGCCCUAUCGGCAGGGAAGAAAAGCGAACAGGUUCGCCUGGACGGUACCUGACUAAGAAGCCCCGGCUAACUACGUGCCAGCAGCCGCGGUAAUACGUAGGGGGCAAGCGUUAUCCGGAUUCACUGGGUGUAAAGGGAGCGUAGACGGCGACGCAAGUCUGGAGUGAAAGCCCGGGGCCCAACCCCGGGACUGCUCUGGAAACUGUAUGGCUGGAGUGCAGGAGAGGUAAGUGGAAUUCCUAGUGUAGCGGUGAAAUGCGUAGAUAUUAGGAGGAACACCAGUGGCGAAGGCGGCCUACUGGACGGUGACUGACGCUGAGGCUCGAAAGCGUGGGGAGCAAACAGGAUUAGAUACCCCGGUAGA
Molecule: ribosomal RNA, 463 nt
Filed under: uncultured bacterium
Lineage: Bacteria
Description: bacterial SSU rRNA
Rfam family: Bacterial small subunit ribosomal RNA
Source: RNAcentral